AGAGUCCACGCCCUUCUCUUCUCAUGCCAUAAGUGGAUAGGGAUGAGUUGGUUUGCAUUUGAAUUCAAACUCGAUUUGAAUUCAAAUGUGCAACCACUUAUCUUUAUCCUCUCACGUGGAUAAGACAUGUUCGACGUUGUUUUAAAAAGGGGAGAAAGGUGGGACGUGCAUAAGAAAUUUUUGGAGAGAAAUUUUGGGAUGUGAGAAACCUUUCUGCAUGAGGUGAAGGUCCAAAACCUUCCGAGAGAAAAAGAAAGAAAAGAAAGAAAAAAGGGUGCAGAGUUUUUCUUAGUGUACCCUAGGGUUUCAGCCUGGGAUUCAGGAAGUG
This 328-nucleotide long non-coding RNA is filed under the name Elaeis guineensis (African oil palm). RNAcentral's name for it is "long non-coding RNA (EGUI_LNC047069)". The record is from RNAcentral. Lineage: Eukaryota; Viridiplantae; Streptophyta; Magnoliopsida; Arecales; Arecaceae.